This is a long non-coding RNA of Sorghum bicolor (sorghum), 2480 nucleotides long. RefSeq lists it as uncharacterized. The transcript is spliced from 2 exons. Lineage: Eukaryota; Viridiplantae; Streptophyta; Magnoliopsida; Poales; Poaceae. The record is from RefSeq and is a predicted model, not a curated record.
AAUCCCCUCUACUAUGCGCUACGACAUUCACUGUGCCGCCUCCACGCACUCCAUCGCGCCGACUCCUCCCCGCCUGCCUCCGCACCUGCUGCCCUCGCCGGCUGCUCGCCCCUAAUGCCGCCUGACUUUGAGGUUGCCCUGGCCUGCUGCCCGCCCUUGCCGUCGUCCUUGGCUGGCUGCUCACCGCCGACCUCAACCAGCCAGCCGCCUGCCCUAGGAGAGCCCAGAGAGUUUCCCCAGCAGAUCGAGUUUCCCUAGUCGUGCGGAGAGUCCGUUUCAGUGGUUGACGGCGACGAACUGCUGGAGGACGUGCUCCAGGAUCUGCUCCGCUCUGUUUCCCCUAUCCACAUCUCGAUCUGCUAGAGGAUCUGCCCAAUCCGAAGCAUGACUCCGGCCAGGAAAGAUGUGUCACUUGAUGAUAGACGGCAGUAGUUAUGUUCCAAACUGUGUCAUGAUUUGGCCGAGCUGUUGUAAUACCGUCAAAGGCUGUUGUAAUACAUGCCUCAAACAAAUGAUACAAGAUGGCUACAAAUAAACAAAGCUCGUUGCACAAAUGUUUCCCUUAUGCCUACUUUAUAUAUGAGGUCUGAAGUCUUGUCUAGUCUGACUAAAUCUUCCAGUGCAUCCUAUGUCUAAAACCCAACAAAAUGCUUACAGUUAACAGAGGUGCAAAUUCAUAUGUAUGGGGUCUGACUAUAUUCCAAGUUGUAUACAGAUUUUAAUAUUGGUCUAGAUUGGCAUUUUAUAUUGGCUCACUUGUUUUUUUUGGUAAAGUAGGUGGUGAAUAUCUUGCAAGCAUUUCUAAUUUUCCUGAACAAUCAAAGCAGUUCGCCUUCAUUGCUAAGAAGUUGUUGGUUGAAGGAGCUUCUGUGAAACGGUAACCCUAGCUGCUUAGGUUUUGCUCAUAUGUCCCUUCGUUCUCUCCUUUCCCCAAAUUGAUAUGGUUCCUUGAUCUAUGAUGCCUGCAAUUUCCUGUGAAUUAAUUUCCCCAAACUAAGAACUUAAAGGUCCAUUACCGUGUGAUUUGCUGCUGCUAACAUGUUACACGGAGAUGAAGUCUGGAGUAAAACACUCAUUCUUACUUUUGUGGUUUCCUGUCUUUUAAGAACAAACACUUGAAAAAUGCUAUGCAAUGCAAUUUGUAGGUGAGGUGUACUGCACUAAUUUUGGUGGAUGUAGGUUUAAUGUACUGUGCAUUAGAUAAAUGGCUACGGUAUGAUUUGGUAUCUCUAGUAAAAGUUUUGAAAAUUUUCCCACUAAAGGCUUGCACUACUAUUGAUGUUUGUAUAGAUCAUGCAUAGAACUAGUGGUUGAUAUAGUCAUAGGUUUGAUAUAGUCACAGGUUUGUUACUUUCUUUCAGAGUAGUACGAUAGUGUGCUCUUGUCUUCUUAGUUUAAGUGGUAUGAUCUAUGUGCUGCAACCAAAGUUCAACAUAAUUCUGCUGAAAUUCUGUUGGGCCUAUGCUGAAAUUUGAUUAGUAGUUCUAGACUUCACUAUUCUGCCAAUUUUUGGUACAUUGUAUCAACAUUUAUUAAGAGUUGUGAUGCUUGUGCUUUUACAUCUCUGUUGUGCUUGGAUGGUUGCUAUAGAAAGUUUCAUGCCUCUUGCAGUUUUUGAUUGUCUUGGAACAAUAUGACCUAGAGAGCAACUUUAGAAAAGUGGCAUGGUGAUAAGGACCAAUAGGCAGUGUAUGUUGCAUUGACUCAUCUUAUCUCUUCCUCGCUGGUGAUAAGGACCAAUAGGCAGCAAGUAUAAUUAUAGCUUCACAUGUCGAGCUUCCAAAAACUUGCAAGUUGCAGAUUUGUAGUGCAAUGGUUAAUUGCAAGUUUUUUUUGAAGUCGGUUAAUUGCUAGGUGCAGCAAGUUCAAUAGCACAAUAGUUGCUACUAUUUUAGCUACUCAGAUUUCUUCAGUUUAGAUAAAAGAACUGUUGUUUGGUCCUUUUAAUAUGCACUAUUGCUUGCUCCUUUUUCAAAAUAUAUCUGUUUAUAAUGCAAAGCAAGAUCCACUUGAGCAAAGAUGUAAUCUUAGAAACAGAGUUUAGCAUGAAGAACAUAAAUAAGAUAAAUAUGUAGAUAUAUAGACAUUGUGAUUUUUUUUAAACUCCUAACCUGUUUUGGUUAUCUACCUAGCUUCUAUUAAGUCACUAGUAAACUAGUAUAUGUUAAUUUGGUUAUCUACCUAGUUUUGACUUAUCUAAAGCUCCAAACUACUAUGUGCACCUUAAAUUAGUAUUAUUAAACUAUGUGCUAUGUUUGGUAUGUUAGAUUUUAUGCUAAAGGCAUGUUAGCAUUUCUUGAUGUGAUUGAGCAGGUGAAGAACAAGAUCAACAAGAGAGUUGAUUGUCACAGUAGUUUCUGACAAAUUAUUUACUCGUCACGUUAAGUGACUAGUUUGAUGUUAAAUGACAUUAUAUGUAUAUAAUGUACUUGUUCGAUACAUGAAUCAAUGUAUGAUAAUGUGAUCACUUUUGAAUGUCA